RNAcentral lists this transfer RNA (65 nucleotides) under Atrichochira sp. 'Yeppoon'. RNAcentral describes it as "transfer RNA-Leu". Lineage: Eukaryota; Metazoa; Arthropoda; Insecta; Diptera; Bombyliidae. The record is from RNAcentral.
ACUAUUUUGGCAGAUUAGUGCGUUAAAUUUAGAAUUUAUAUAUGUAAUAUGUAUUACAAAUAGUA